AACGAACGCUGGCGGCAUGCCUAACACAUGCCAGUCGAACGAGACCUUCGGGUCUAGUGGCGCACGGGUGCGUAACGCGUGGGAACCUGCCCUUAGGUUCGGAAUAACUCCCCGAAAGGGGUGCUAAUACCGGAUAAUGUCUUCGGACCAAAGAUUUAUCGCCUUUGGAUGGGCCCGCGUUGGAUUAGCUAGUUGGUAGGGUAAAAGCCUACCAAGGCGACGAUCCAUAGCUGGUCUGAGAGGAUGAUCAGCCACACUGGGACUGAGACACGGCCCAGACUCCUACGGGAGGCAGCAGUGGGGAAUAUUGGACAAUGGGCGAAAGCCUGAUCCAGCAAUGCUGCGUGAGUGAUGAAGGCCUUAGGGUUGUAAAGCUCUUUUACCCGGGAUGAUAAUGACAGUACCGGGAGAAUAAGCUCCGGCUAACUCCGUG
Molecule: ribosomal RNA, 433 nt
Filed under: uncultured bacterium
Lineage: Bacteria
Description: partial 16S ribosomal RNA
Rfam family: Bacterial small subunit ribosomal RNA
Source: RNAcentral